RNAcentral lists this ribosomal RNA (468 nucleotides) under uncultured bacterium. RNAcentral's name for it is "partial 16S ribosomal RNA". It matches the Rfam family "Bacterial small subunit ribosomal RNA", at positions 28 to 507 of the family's 1533-position model. The record is from RNAcentral.
GACGAACGCUGGCGGCGUGCUUAACACAUGCAAGUCGAACGGACAGGCCCUGCUUUUGUUGGUUGCUCGAGUGGCGAACGGGUGAGUAACACGUGAGUAACCUGCCCUUGUCUUUGGGAUAACUUCAGGAAACUGGGGCUAAUACCGGAUAGGAUCUCCUGCUGCAUGGUGUGGGUUGGAAAGUUUCGGCGGUUGGGGAUAGUCUCGCGGCUUAUCAGCUUGUUGGUGGGGUAGUGGCUUACCAAGGCUGUGACGGGUAGCCGGCCUGAGAGGGUUACCGGCGACAUGGGGACUGAGAGACGGACCAGAAGCGUACGGGAGGCAGCAGUGGGGAAUAUUGCACAAUGGGCGGAAGCCAGAUGCAGCAACGCCGCGUGCGGGAUGACGGCCUUCGGGUUGUAAACCGCUUUCGACUGUGACGAAGAGUGAGUGACGGUAAUGGGUAAGGAAGCACCGGCUAACUACGUG